CCUACGGGAGACUGCAGUGGGGAAUAUUGCACAAUGGGGGAAACCCUGAUGCAGCGACGCCGCGUGAGUGAAGAAGUAUUUCUGUAUGUAAAGCUCUAUCAGCAGGGAAGAAAUCGCGACCUUUGGGUCGCCAGACGGUACCUGAUUCAGAAGCCCCGGCUAACUACGUGCCAGCAGCCGCGGUAAUACGUAGGGGGCAAGCGUUAUCCGGAUUUACUGGGUGUAAAGGGCGAGUAGGCGGGAUUGCAAGUCAGAUGUGAAAACUAUGGGCUCAACCGAGAGAGUGCAUUUGAAACUGCAGUUCUUGAGAGAUGGAGAGGCAGGCGGAAUGCCCGGUGUAGCGGUGGAAUGCGUAGAGAUC
RNAcentral lists this ribosomal RNA (361 nucleotides) under uncultured bacterium. RNAcentral describes it as "partial 16S ribosomal RNA". It matches the Rfam family "Bacterial small subunit ribosomal RNA", at positions 338 to 698 of the family's 1533-position model. The record is from RNAcentral.